UGGGGAAUAUUGCACAAUGGGCGAAAGCCUGAUGCAGCAACGCCGCGUGAGUGAUGAAGGCCUUCGGGUUGUAAAGCUCUGUCUUUUGGGACGAUAAUGACGGUACCAAAGGAGGAAGCCACGGCUAACUACGUGCCAGCAGCCGCGGUAAUACGUAGGUGGCAAGCGUUGUCCGGAUUUACUGGGCGUAAAGGAUGCGUAGGCGGAUUUUUAAGUGAGAUGUGAAAACCCUAAGCUUAACUUGGGGACUGCAUUUCAUACUGGAAAUCUAGAGUGCGGGAGGGGAGAAUGGAAUUCCUAGUGUAGCGGUGAAAUGCGUAGAGAUUAGGAAGAACACCAGUGGCGAAGGCGAUUCUCUGGACCGUAACUGACGCUGAGGCAUGAAAGCGUGGGUAGCAAAACAGGAUUAGAUACCCUGGUAGUCCACGCCGUAAACGAUGAGUACUAGGUGUAGGAGGUAUCGACCCCUUCUGUGCCGCAGUUAACACAAUAAGUACUCCGCCUGGGAAGUACGAUCGCAAGAUUAAAAACUUAAAUGAAUUGACGGGGGUCAUAGCUG
RNAcentral lists this ribosomal RNA (559 nucleotides) under uncultured bacterium. RNAcentral describes it as "partial 16S ribosomal RNA". It matches the Rfam family "Bacterial small subunit ribosomal RNA", at positions 355 to 928 of the family's 1533-position model. The record is from RNAcentral.